UCUUGGAUUUAUUGAAGACUAACUACUGCGAAAGCAUUUGCCAAGGAUGUUUUCCCCCUNNUAAGNACGAAAGUUAGGGGAUCGAAGACGAUCAGAUACCCCUUNUANUCUUAACCAUAAACUAUGCCGACUAGGGAUCGGAUGAUGUUAAUUUUUUAAUGACUCA
This 166-nucleotide ribosomal RNA is filed under the name uncultured Glomeromycotina. RNAcentral's name for it is "partial 18S ribosomal RNA". It matches the Rfam family "Eukaryotic small subunit ribosomal RNA", at positions 918 to 1078 of the family's 1831-position model. Lineage: Eukaryota; Fungi; Glomeromycota. The record is from RNAcentral.